AUACANACUCUCAGUACGGUGAAACCGCGAAAGGCUCAUUAGAUCGGUCAAUGUUUACUGGAUCGUACAAUCCUACUUGGAUAACUGUGGCAAUUCUAGAGCUAAUACAUGCAACCAAGCUCCGACCUUCGGGGAAGAGCGCUUUUAUUAGAUCAAGACCAAUCGGGGGCUUCGGUUCCCGUAGCAUUGGUGACUCUGGAUAACUUUGGGCUGAUCGCACGGCCUCGAGCCGGCGACGUAUCCAUCAAAUGUCCGCCCUAUCAACUUUCGACGGUACGUGAUAUGCCUACCGUGGUUUUUACGGGUAACGGGGAAUCAGGGUUCGAUUCCGGAG
Molecule: ribosomal RNA, 334 nt
Filed under: Malletia johnsoni
Lineage: Eukaryota; Metazoa; Mollusca; Bivalvia; Nuculanida sp.; Malletiidae
Description: SSU rRNA
Rfam family: Eukaryotic small subunit ribosomal RNA
Source: RNAcentral